RNAcentral lists this ribosomal RNA (271 nucleotides) under uncultured bacterium. RNAcentral's name for it is "partial small subunit ribosomal RNA". It matches the Rfam family "Bacterial small subunit ribosomal RNA", at positions 26 to 285 of the family's 1533-position model. The record is from RNAcentral.
AGGACGAACGCUGGCGGCGUGCUUAACACAUGCAAGUCGAACGGUAAGGCCCUUUCGGGGGUACACGAGUGGCGAACGGGUGAGUAACACGUGGGUGACCUGCCCCUUACUCUGGGAUAAGCCUUGGAAACUGGGUCUAAUACCGGAUAGGACUUCAUGCUGCAUGGUGUGGGGUUGAAAGCCAGUUACUUUUGUUUCUGGCGGUGGGGGAUGGGCCCGCGGCCUAUCAGCUUGUUGGUGGGGUGAUGGCCUACCAAGGCUUCGACGGGUA